GUGGGGAAUCUUCCACAAUGGACGAAAGUCUGAUGGAGCAACGCCGCGUGAGUGAAGAAGGGUUUCGGCUCGUAAAGCUCUGUUGUCGGGGACGAAUGUGCAGUAUUUGAAUAAAGUAGUGCAAUGACGGUACCUGACGAGGAAGCCACGGCUAACUACGUGCCAGCAGCCGCGGUAAUACGUAGGUGGCACGCGUUGUCCGGAAUUAUUGGGCGGAAAGGGAGCGCAGGCGGGAAGGUAAGUCGGUCUUAAAAGUGCGGGGCUCAACCCCGUGAUGGGAUCGAAACUAUCUUUCUUGAGUGCAGGAGAGGAAAGUGGAAUUCCUAGUGUAGCGGUGAAAUGCGUAGAUAUUAGGAGGAACACCAGUGGCGAAGGCGACUUUCUGGACUGUAACUGACGCUGAGGCUCGAAAGCCAGGGGAGCGAACGGGAUUAGAAACCCGGGUAGUCC
Molecule: ribosomal RNA, 450 nt
Filed under: uncultured bacterium
Lineage: Bacteria
Description: partial 16S ribosomal RNA
Rfam family: Bacterial small subunit ribosomal RNA
Source: RNAcentral